Molecule: unclassified non-coding RNA, 266 nt
Filed under: Hevea brasiliensis (rubber tree)
Lineage: Eukaryota; Viridiplantae; Streptophyta; Magnoliopsida; Malpighiales; Euphorbiaceae
Source: RNAcentral
UGAUCUGCUGGGCCUUCAGAUUUCCGUUUUGAACAGUACCUUUGCAACGGCUUCAUCGAAAGGGAAUCAGUCGGUAAAGCCAGAGGGCGAUGGGGAGAGGGAAAUCUAGAGUGAACAGGAAGCGGUUAUAGGGAAGGUGAACUUCUGUUCCUUUACUUGUACGCUACAAAGUGCAAAGCAUCUAUCUUUUGCUUAGUUGACUCAUAACUGCCUGCCAGAAAGUGCCACCUUUGGUGGGCACAAAUUCGUAAUGACCUUUAAAUCUC